CCUACGGGAGGCAGCAGUGGGGAAUAUUGGGCAAUGGAGGCAACUCUGACCCAGCAACGCCGCGUGGGUGAUGAAGGACUUCGGAUUGUAAAGUUCUAUCAUGAGGGAUGAACACAAUGACAGUACCCCAAUAACACGCCACUACUAACUACGUGCCAGCCGCCGCGGUACUACGUAGGGGGCAAGCGUUAUCCGGAAUGACUGGGCGUAAAGGGGGCGUAGGUGGUUUAGUAAGUUGGCGGUGGAAUGCCGGGGCUCAACCUCGGGGCUACCGUGAAAACUAUUAGGCUAGAGUGCAGGAGGGGCAAGCGGAAUUCCUAGUGUAGCGGUGGAAUGCGUAGAUAUUAGGAGGAACACCAGUGGCGAAGGCGACUUACUGGACGGUAACUGACACUGAGGCACGAAAGCGUGGGGAGCAAACAGGAUUAGAUACCCGUGUAGUC
Molecule: ribosomal RNA, 443 nt
Filed under: uncultured bacterium
Lineage: Bacteria
Description: partial 16S ribosomal RNA
Rfam family: Bacterial small subunit ribosomal RNA
Source: RNAcentral